GGCAAGUUGUCCUUGGCUAC
Molecule: microRNA, 20 nt
Filed under: Arabidopsis thaliana (thale cress)
Lineage: Eukaryota; Viridiplantae; Streptophyta; Magnoliopsida; Brassicales; Brassicaceae
Description: ath-miR169a-3p
Gene: ath-miR169a-3p
Source: miRBase by way of RNAcentral